GAUGAACGCUAGCGACAGGCUUAACACAUGCAAGUCGAGGGGCAGCAUAAAAGUUACUUCGGUAAUUUUGGUGGCGACCGGCGCACGGGUGAGUAACGCGUAUGCAACCUACCUAUCAGAGGGGGAUAGCCCAUUGAAAGAUGGAUUAAUACCGGAUGGUAUAUGAUUACUGCAUGGUAAUUAUAUUAAAGAAUUUCGGUAAAAGAUGAGGAUGCGUUCCAUUAGAUAGUUGGUAGGGUAACGGCUUACCAAGUCUACGAUGGAUAGGGGUUCUGAGAGGAAGGUCACCCACACUGGUACUGAGACACGGACCAGACUCCUACGGGAGGCAGCAGUGAGGAAUAUUGGUCAAUGGGCGAGAGCCUGAACCAGCCAAGUAGCGUGGGGGAUGACUGCCCUAUGGGUUGUAAACCUCUUUUAUAUGGGAAUAAUAGGUUCUACGUGUAGAAUUUUGCAUGUACCAUUAUGAAUAAGCAUCGGCUAACUCCGUGCCAGCCGCCGCCGUAAUAC
This 510-nucleotide ribosomal RNA is filed under the name uncultured bacterium. RNAcentral's name for it is "bacterial SSU rRNA". It matches the Rfam family "Bacterial small subunit ribosomal RNA", at positions 28 to 526 of the family's 1533-position model. The record is from RNAcentral.